This 29-nucleotide non-coding RNA is filed under the name Mus musculus (house mouse). Lineage: Eukaryota; Metazoa; Chordata; Mammalia; Rodentia; Muridae. The record is from RNAcentral.
AGGUGACUCAAAGACAUCUGUGCUGCCAU